UUUCCGGUUGAUCCUGCCGGACCCCACCGCUAUCGGGAUGGGACUAAGCCAUGCGAGUCGUGCGGCCCGGUCAGCGGGCAGCGGCGUACGGCUCAGUAAUACGUGGUCAACCUACUCGGAGCACCGGGAUAACCGCUGGGAAACUGCGGCUAAUACCGGAUAGGCGAGGAGGUUGGAAUUACCUCCUCGUCGAAAGGCUGGGUUGACGAUGCUCAACCCAGCGGCUCCGAAUGGGACCACGGCCGAUCAGGUAGUUGGUGAGGUAACGGCUCACCAAGCCUAAGACCGGUGCGGGCUCUGAGAGGAGGAGCCCGGAGAUGGGCACUGAGACAAGGGCCCAGGUCCUAUGGGGCGCAGCAGGCGCGAAACCUCCGCAAUGGGCGAAAGCCCGACGGGGUCAGUCCGAGUGGUCCCCGCUGAGGGGACCUUUUGCCAGCUGUAAACAGGCUGGAGAAUAAGGGGUGGGCAAGUUUGGUGUCAGCCGCCGCGGUAAUACCAGCACCCCGAGUGGUCGGGACGAUUAUUGGGCCUAAAGCAUCCGUAGCCGGCUCAGUAAGUCCUCCGUUAAAUCCAACGGCUCAACCGUUGGGCUGCGGGGGAUACUGCUGGGCUAGGGGGCGGGAGAGGCGAGGGGUAUUCCCGGGGUAGGGGUAAAAUCCACUGAUCCCGGGAGGACCACCAGUGGCGAAGGCGCCUCGCUAGAACGCACCCGACGGUGAGGGAUGAAAGCUGGGGGAGCGAACCGGAUUAGAUACCCGGGUAGUCCCAGCCGUAAACGAUGUAGGCUCGGUGUUGGGCUGCCUUAGUGGUAGCCCAGUGCCGCAGGGAAGCCGUUAAGCCUACCGCCUGGGGAGUACGGCCGCAAGGCUGAAACUUAAAGGAAUUGGCGGGGGAGCACCACAAGGGGUGAAGCCUGCGGUUUAAUUGGAGUCAACGCCGGA
This 941-nucleotide ribosomal RNA is filed under the name uncultured archaeon. RNAcentral's name for it is "bacterial SSU rRNA". It matches the Rfam family "Archaeal small subunit ribosomal RNA", at positions 1 to 922 of the family's 1478-position model. The record is from RNAcentral.